RNAcentral lists this ribosomal RNA (424 nucleotides) under uncultured bacterium. Its description in RNAcentral is "bacterial SSU rRNA". It matches the Rfam family "Bacterial small subunit ribosomal RNA", at positions 29 to 497 of the family's 1533-position model. The record is from RNAcentral.
AUUGAACGCUGGCGGCAGGCCUAACACAUGCAAGUCGAGCGCCUCAGCAAUGGGGAGCGGCAGACGGGUGAGUAACGCGCGGGAACCUUCCCAAUGGUACGGAAUAACGCACCGAAAGGCGCGCUAAUACCGUAUACGCCCGAAAGGGGAAGAUUUAUCGCCAUUGGAUGGGCCCGCGUCGGAUUAGCUAGUUGGUAGGGUAACGGCCUACCAAGGCGACGAUCCGUAGCUGGUCUGAGAGGAUGAUCAGCCACACUGGGACUGAGACACGGCCCAGACUCCUACGGGAGGCAGCAGUGGGGAAUAUUGGACAAUGGGCGCAAGCCUGAUCCAGCCAUGCCGCGUGAGUGAAGAAGGCCUUCGGUUGUAAGACUCUUUGGUCGGGACGGAGUAAUGACGGUACCCGCACGAAUAAGACUCCGGC